AGAGUUUGAUCCUGGCUCAGGAUGAACGCUAGCGGCAGGCUUAACACAUGCAAGUCGAGGGGUAGAGGUUGCUUGCAACCUUGAGACCGGCGCACGGGUGCGUAACGCGUAUGCAACCUACCUUUUACAGAGGGAUAGCCCAGAGAAAUUUGGAUUAAUACCUCAUAGUAUAUAUCUUUCGCAUGUUAGGUAUAUUAAAGUUCCAACGGUAAAAGAUGGGCAUGCGUCCUAUUAGCUAGAUGGUAAGGUAACGGCUUACCAUGGCUACGAUAGGUAGGGGUCCUGAGAGGGAGAUCCCCCACACUGGUACUGAGACACGGACCAGACUCCUACGGGAGGCAGCAGUGAGGAAUAUUGGACAAUGGGCGCAAGCCUGAUCCAGCCAUGCCGCGUGCAGGAAGAAGCAUCUAUGGUGUGUAAACUGCUUUUGUACAGGAAGAAACAUCCCGACGUGUCGGGACUUGACGGUACUGUAAGAAUAAGGAUCGGCUAACUCCGUGCCAGCAGCCGCGGUAAUACGGAGGAUCCAAGCGUUAUCCGGAAUCAUUGGGUUUAAAGGGUCCGUAGGCGGUUUGGUAAGUCAGUGGUGAAAGCCCGCAGCUCAACUGUGGAACGGCCAUUGAUACUGCCAGACUUGAAUUACAAGGAAGUAACUAGAAUAUGUAGUGUAGCGGUGAAAUGCUUAGAUAUUACAUGGAAUACCAAUUGCGAAGGCAGGUUACUACUGGUGGAUUGACGCUGAUGGACGAAAGCGUGGGGAGCGAACAGGAUUAGAUACCCUGGUAGUCCAA
RNAcentral lists this ribosomal RNA (791 nucleotides) under uncultured bacterium. RNAcentral describes it as "bacterial SSU rRNA". It matches the Rfam family "Bacterial small subunit ribosomal RNA", at positions 8 to 798 of the family's 1533-position model. The record is from RNAcentral.